AGCGCAGGCGGGAAGACAAGUUGGAAGUGAAAACCAUGGGCCCAACCCAUGAAUUGCUUUCAAAACUGUUUUUCUUGAGUAGUGCAGAGGUAGAUGGAAUUCCCGGUGUAGCGGUGGAAUGCGUAGAUAUCGGGAGGAACACCAGUGGCGAAGGCGGUCUACUGGGCACCAACUGACGCUGAGGCUCGAAAGCAUGGGUAGCAAACA
Molecule: ribosomal RNA, 207 nt
Filed under: uncultured bacterium
Lineage: Bacteria
Description: partial 16S ribosomal RNA
Rfam family: Bacterial small subunit ribosomal RNA
Source: RNAcentral